RNAcentral lists this transfer RNA (72 nucleotides) under Thermoplasmata archaeon HGW-Thermoplasmata-1. RNAcentral describes it as "tRNA-Gly". It matches the Rfam family "tRNA". Rfam says of the family: Transfer RNA (tRNA) molecules are approximately 80 nucleotides in length. The record is from RNAcentral. Lineage: Archaea; Methanobacteriati; Thermoplasmatota; Thermoplasmata.
GCGGUCGUGGUCUAGAGGUUAUGACCGUGGCUUCCCAAGCCACUUGCCCGGGUUCGAAUCCCGGCGACCGCA